RNAcentral lists this ribosomal RNA (413 nucleotides) under uncultured bacterium. RNAcentral describes it as "bacterial SSU rRNA". It matches the Rfam family "Bacterial small subunit ribosomal RNA", at positions 372 to 767 of the family's 1533-position model. The record is from RNAcentral.
UGGGCGCAAGCCUGAUCCAGCCAUGCCGCGUGAGUGAAGAAGGCCUUCGGGGUUGUAAAAGCUCUUUCGGCCGGAAGAAAUCGCAUGGGUCAAUACCCCUGUGUGGAUGACGGUACCGGAAUAAGAAGCACCGGCUAACUACGUGCCAGCAGCCGCGGUAAUACCGUAGGGUGCGAGCGUUAAUCGGAAUUACUGGGCGUAAAGCGUGCGCAGGCGGUUUGGUAAGUCAGAUGUGAAAAUCCCCGGGCUCAACCUGGGAACUGCAUUUGAGACUGCCAAGCUGGAGUUUGGCAGAGGGGGGUGGAAUUCCACGUGUAGCAGUGUAAAUGCGUAGAGAUGUGGAGGAACACCGAUGGCGAAGGCAGCCCCCCUUGGGGCCAAUACUGACGCUUCAUUGCACGAAAGCGUGGGGA